UGAACGCUGGCGGCAGGCCUAACACAUGCACGUCGAACGGUAACAGGAAGCAGCUUGCUGCUUCGCUGACGAGUGGCGGACGGGUGAGUAAUGUCUGGGAAACUGCCUGAUGGAGGGGGAUAACUACUGGAAACGGUAGCUAAUACCGCAUAACGUCGCAAGACCAAAGAGGGGGACCUUAGGGCCUCUUGCCAUCGGAUGUGCCCAGAUGGGAUUAGCUAGUAGGUGGGGUAACGGCUCACCUAGGCGACGAUCCCUAGCUGGUCUGAGAGGAUGACCAGCCACACUGGAACUGAGACACGGUCCAGACUCCUACGGGAGGCAGCAGUGGGGAAUAUUGCACAAUGGGCGCAAGCCUGAUGCAGCCAUGCCGCGUGUAUGAAGAAGGCCUUCGGGUUGUAAAGUACUUUCAGCGGGGAGGAAGGGAGUAAAGUUAAUACCUUUGCUCAUUGACGUUACCCGCAGAAGAAGCACCGGCUAACUCCGUG
RNAcentral lists this ribosomal RNA (488 nucleotides) under uncultured bacterium. RNAcentral describes it as "partial 16S ribosomal RNA". It matches the Rfam family "Bacterial small subunit ribosomal RNA", at positions 30 to 507 of the family's 1533-position model. The record is from RNAcentral.